RNAcentral lists this ribosomal RNA (1181 nucleotides) under metagenome. RNAcentral describes it as "SSU rRNA". It matches the Rfam family "Eukaryotic small subunit ribosomal RNA", at positions 558 to 1777 of the family's 1831-position model. The record is from RNAcentral.
AGUCUGGUGCCAGCAGCCGCGGUAAUUCCAGCUCUGAUAGUAUAUAUUAAAGUUGUUGCAGUUAAGAAGCUCGUAGUUGAAACUUGGGUGCGUAGGGGCGGUCUCUUUUAGAGUACUACCCUGAAACAUCUUUCUUUGGUGUAAACUCUUUAUUCACUUAAGGAGUGUAAACCAAACAUUUACUUUGAAAAAAUUAGAGUGUUCAAAGCAGGCCUUUGCUCGAAUAUAUUAGCAUGGAAUAAUAGAAUAGGACGUAUGGUUCUAUUUUGUUGGUUUCUAGGACCGUCGUAAUGAUUAAUAGGGACGGUCGGGGGCAUCAGUAUUCAGUUGUCAGAGGUGAAAUUCUUGGAUUUACUGAAGACUAACUACUGCGAAAGCAUUUGCCAAGGACGUUUUCAUUAAUCAAGAACGAAAGUUAGGGGAUCGAAGACGAUCAGAUACCGUCGUAGUCUUAACCGUAAACUAUGCCGACUAGGGAUCGGAGGGCGUUAUAAUAACCUCUCCGGCACCUUACGAGAAAUCAAAGUUUUUGGGUUCUGGGGGGAGUAUGGUUGCAAGGCUGAAACUUAAAGGAAUUGACGGAAGGGCACCACCAGGAGUGGAGCCUGCGGCUUAAUUUGACCCAACACGGGGAAACUCACCAGGUCCAGACACAAUAAGGAUUGACAGAUUGAGAGCUCUUUCAUGAUUUUGUGGGUGGUGGUGCAUGGCCGUUCUUAGUUGGUGGAGUGAUUUGUCUGCUUAAUUGCGAUAACGAACGAGACCUUAACCUGCUAAAUAGCUGUAACAAUAGAUUAUUGUUUUGACAGCUUCUUAGAGGGACUAUCGAUUUUCAAGUCGAUGGAAGUUUGAGGCAAUAACAGGUCUGUGAUGCCCUUAGACGUUCUGGGCCGCACGCGCGCUACACUGACGGAGCCAGCGAGUCUAACCUGUGCCGAGAGGUAUGGGUAAUCUUGUGAAACUCCGUCGUGCUGGGGAUAGAGCAUUGCAAUUAUUGCUCUUCAACGAGGAAUUCCUAGUAAGCGCAAGUCAUCAGCUUGCGUUGAUUACGUCCCUGCCCUUUGUACACACCGCCCGUCGCUACUACCGAUUGAAUGGCUUAGUGAGGCUUCCGGAUUGAUUAACUGGAGAGGGCAACUUUUCUGGUUGAACGAGAAGCUAGUCAAACUUGGUCAUUUAGA